This 2416-nucleotide ribosomal RNA is filed under the name Escherichia coli. RNAcentral describes it as "partial 23S ribosomal RNA". It matches the Rfam family "Bacterial large subunit ribosomal RNA", at positions 505 to 2901 of the family's 2925-position model. The record is from RNAcentral. Lineage: Bacteria; Pseudomonadati; Pseudomonadota; Gammaproteobacteria; Enterobacterales; Enterobacteriaceae.
GAGGGAAAGGCGAAAAGAACCCCGGCGAGGGGAGUGAAAAAGAACCUGAAACCGUGUACGUACAAGCAGUGGGAGCACGCUUAGGCGUGUGACUGCGUACCUUUUGUAUAAUGGGUCAGCGACUUAUAUUCUGUAGCAAGGUUAACCGAAUAGGGGAGCCGAAGGGAAACCGAGUCUUAACUGGGCGUUAAGUUGCAGGGUAUAGACCCGAAACCCGGUGAUCUAGCCAUGGGCAGGUUGAAGGUUGGGUAACACUAACUGGAGGACCGAACCGACUAAUGUUGAAAAAUUAGCGGAUGACUUGUGGCUGGGGGUGAAAGGCCAAUCAAACCGGGAGAUAGCUGGUUCUCCCCGAAAGCUAUUUAGGUAGCGCCUCGUGAAUUCAUCUCCGGGGGUAGAGCACUGUUUCGGCAAGGGGGUCAUCCCGACUUACCAACCCGAUGCAAACUGCGAAUACCGGAGAAUGUUAUCACGGGAGACACACGGCGGGUGCUAACGUCCGUCGUGAAGAGGGAAACAACCCAGACCGCCAGCUAAGGUCCCAAAGUCAUGGUUAAGUGGGAAACGAUGUGGGAAGGCCCAGACAGCCAGGAUGUUGGCUUAGAAGCAGCCAUCAUUUAAAGAAAGCGUAAUAGCUCACUGGUCGAGUCGGCCUGCGCGGAAGAUGUAACGGGGCUAAACCAUGCACCGAAGCUGCGGCAGCGACGCUGAUGCGUUGUUGGGUAGGGGAGCGUUCUGUAAGCCUGUGAAGGUGUGCUGUGAGGCAUGCUGGAGGUAUCAGAAGUGCGAAUGCUGACAUAAGUAACGAUAAAGCGGGUGAAAAGCCCGCUCGCCGGAAGACCAAGGGUUCCUGUCCAACGUUAAUCGGGGCAGGGUGAGUCGACCCCUAAGGCGAGGCCGAAAGGCGUAGUCGAUGGGAAACAGGUUAAUAUUCCUGUACUUGGUGUUACUGCGAAGGGGGGACGGAGAAGGCUAUGUUGGCCGGGCGACGGUUGUCCCGGUUUAAGCGUGUAGGCUGGUUUUCCAGGCAAAUCCGGAAAAUCAAGGCUGAGGCGUGAUGACGAGGCACUACGGUGCUGAAGCAACAAAUGCCCUGCUUCCAGGAAAAGCCUCUAAGCAUCAGGUAACAUCAAAUCGUACCCCAAACCGACACAGGUGGUCAGGUAGAGAAUACCAAGGCGCUUGAGAGAACUCGGGUGAAGGAACUAGGCAAAAUGGUGCCGUAACUUCGGGAGAAGGCACGCUGAUAUGUAGGUGAAGCGACUUGCUCGUGGAGCUGAAAUCAGUCGAAGAUACCAGCUGGCUGCAACUGUUUAUUAAAAACACAGCACUGUGCAAACACGAAAGUGGACGUAUACGGUGUGACGCCUGCCCGGUGCCGGAAGGUUAAUUGAUGGGGUCAGCGCAAGCGAAGCUCUUGAUCGAAGCCCCGGUAAACGGCGGCCGUAACUAUAACGGUCCUAAGGUAGCGAAAUUCCUUGUCGGGUAAGUUCCGACCUGCACGAAUGGCGUAAUGAUGGCCAGGCUGUCUCCACCCGAGACUCAGUGAAAUUGAACUCGCUGUGAAGAUGCAGUGUACCCGCGGCAAGACGGAAAGACCCCGUGAACCUUUACUAUAGCUUGACACUGAACAUUGAGCCUUGAUGUGUAGGAUAGGUGGGAGGCUUUGAAGUGUGGACGCCAGUCUGCAUGGAGCCGGCCUUGAAAUACCACCCUUUAAUGUUUGAUGUUCUAACGUUGACCCGUGAUCCGGGUUGCGGACAGUGUCUGGUGGGUAGUUUGACUGGGGCGGUCUCCUCCUAAAGAGUAACGGAGGAGCACGAAGGUUGGCUAAUCCUGGUCGGACAUCAGGAGGUUAGUGCAAUGGCAUAAGCCAGCUUGACUGCGAGCGUGACGGCGCGAGCAGGUGCGAAAGCAGGUCAUAGUGAUCCGGUGGUUCUGAAUGGAAGGGCCAUCGCUCAACGGAUAAAAGGUACUCCGGGGAUAACAGGCUGAUACCGCCCAAGAGUUCAUAUCGACGGCGGUGUUUGGCACCUCGAUGUCGGCUCAUCACAUCCUGGGGCUGAAGUAGGUCCCAAGGGUAUGGCUGUUCGCCAUUUAAAGUGGUACGCGAGCUGGGUUUAGAACGUCGUGAGACAGUUCGGUCCCUAUCUGCCGUGGGCGCUGGAGAACUGAGGGGGGCUGCUCCUAGUACGAGAGGACCGGAGUGGACGCAUCACUGGUGUUCGGGUUGUCAUGCCAAUGGCACUGCCCGGUAGCUAAAUGCGGAAGAGAUAAGUGCUGAAAGCAUCUAAGCACGAAACUUGCCCCGAGAUGAGUUCUCCCUGACUCCUUGAGAGUCCUGAAGGAACGUUGAAGACGACGACGUUGAUAGGCCGGGUGUGUAAGCGCAGCGAUGCGUUGAGCUAACCGGUAC